Molecule: ribosomal RNA, 250 nt
Filed under: uncultured bacterium
Lineage: Bacteria
Also listed under: 1 other name
Description: partial 16S ribosomal RNA
Rfam family: Bacterial small subunit ribosomal RNA
Source: RNAcentral
UACGGAGGAUCCGAGCGUUAUCCGGAUUUAUUGGGUUUAAAGGGUGCGCAGGCGGGAGAUUAAGUCGGCGGUGAAAUUUUGCAGCUCAACUGUAAAAGUGCCUUCGAAACUGGUUUUCUUGAGUGUAGAUGAAGUAGGCGGAAUUUGUGGUGUAGCGGUGAAAUGCAUAGAUAUCACGAGGAACUCCGAUUGCGCAGGCAGCUUACUAAGCUACAACUGACGCUCAGGCACGAAGGCGUGGGGAUCAAAC